Molecule: non-coding RNA, 344 nt
Organism: Pelobates cultripes (western spadefoot toad)
Lineage: Eukaryota; Metazoa; Chordata; Amphibia; Anura; Pelobatidae
Source: the annotation of a GenBank genome assembly
UUUAUGUAUAUCAAAAACCCUCACAAAAUAAAGUUGACUUCUACAAAACUUCAGUCCCUCUGGCUGAAGAGACCUACGUUUGUUGCUUGCUUCAGAGUUGGCAUUUUCAAAUGUUAAAAGGAACAUAAAAAACUGACAGGCAAAACAUGUACAUUUGUGUUUUUAAUAGGAGAGGUUUAUUUCACCUGUGGUGGGAAGCACUACUAAAUAUAAUAAGAGCUGUACACAUUUUAAUAAAUGUGUAAGGGAGUGCUUCAUGGUAGGAUCCCAACCAGGAGGGAUAACUAGGCUCAUCCAUAUCAGAUGGGAUAUCUACCUCAAUACAGCUCCUUUCCUAUGAUAAC